This is a long non-coding RNA of Phascolarctos cinereus (koala), 2076 nucleotides long. NCBI's taxonomy places the organism in Eukaryota, Metazoa, Chordata, Mammalia, Diprotodontia, Phascolarctidae. The record is from Ensembl.
AUUGACUUUAGGGCCCUAAAGGGUCUUAAUAACAUCUAAUCCAAUCUCGAACAUUUAUCGUGUAGAACCUAGGCCUAGGGCAACUUCCAUAUCUUAGCUUCCAUACUGGGUUCUUGCAGAUAACCACUUUCCUGAAGACUUACUUCUGUUUUUAAAUUGUUAUUUCCUGGUCACCAUGGGCAAGUUUUCUCUCUGAGAUUAUGUUUCUGACUUGGAGUUAGAGAUUCCUCAUAGUUUCUUGAUCAGUAUAUCAUUGUUAGGCUACAUUCAGUCAGCAUCCAUUUCUGGCUCAUUUAAUCCUCGUAACAACCCUGAGAGGUAUUAUUAUUGGCACUUACAGUUGAAGAACCUAAGGCAAACAAAGGUUAAAUGACUUGCCCAGGGUCACACAACUAAUAAGUGUCUAAGGCUGUAUUUGAACUUGGGUCUUCCUAACUCUCCGCCCAUUGCCGGUUUCUGGCCCAGACAGUAAUUGGUCUAACGAGAUUUUGGCCAGAGUCUUGAAAUGUACUAUUCUGGCCCCUAAGCCCCAGAAGUGGGAGUUAGAGGAAAGACCAACAAUGAUAUAGAGAAGGUAAGAAGGAAAGGGGAUUGGGAUAAGAGGCAUAAAAUAUGGAGAAAUGCAAGAGGUAAGAAGGGCUGUGACAAAACCCACCAUUAGUCCAUCGUGAUCUUGUGAUGCUUCCCUAGUUUGGGGCUGAGCUGAAAGGAUAUAUAACAAGACACUUAUGCUUGGUCUGUCUUCUUUAUCUGCUAUUUCCCCUUAGAUUCCCAGAGCUCUGACCCAUGGCCUGGAACAAACAAACAAACAAACAAACAAACAAGAAUGGAGUUGGAAUAGGUUCUCAAAGCCCCAGGAAGAAGUGAUGAGAACCUCAGGGAUGGGGUAGAACAUGGUGGUUCAGCUGGUUCCUUCCAUCAUCUCUGGGACCAGGUGGCUUCAGGCGAGUUUCGGGUGCAUCCUAACAGAGACGAUGCCCUCUCUCAGCAAGAGAGGUGAGCCGCUGCUGGCCGCUGUCCAGCACUGCCCUGCCCUGGAGUUCCCAAGAACUCCAGGGCUUCUUUAUCAUGGCUGAGUCCCAGGAAGCUUCCGAGAAAAGAGCGGCUGGAAGAAAAGAUCAGCAGCUGGAGGCAAGGGGGACACUCAGCGCCUCCCGAGCCAGAACUGCAGCGAGUCACGGGUUGGAGCUAGGCCUGGCCCAGGUCAAUAGUGUCAAUGCUAGCUGGCGUUUAGAAAAAUACUGAAAACAAUUAGCCAGGCUUUUCUUCGCCUUGCCUUUCUAAUCAAGCACUCUCCACUUCCAGCCGGGGCGAGAACUCUGCUUUCACCCCCACCCCAUCCUACCCCCUCUCCCCUCCCCGCCCUUUCUCAGGGCUGCCCCUCACGCCCCUGGGGAACCUAGCAGCACGGACUCAGGAGGGUGGGGCGGGGAGGAGGCGCGUGGAUAAAGCCAUGGGCUUGGGAGGCAAGCGCCGAGGCGCCCGCGGGAGACUUGCGCCCUGCGCACUGUUGGCCUCUGCUUGGUUCCAGGCGAACCCCACGCUUGGUGAGUGAGGCAGGGAGCCGGGUGUGGGGCUGAGAAGGCUGGAAAGGAAGCUGGGUGAGGUUCAGACAAGAAAUGUCAUUAAACUUAAUUAGCAUUUUGAAUUAUAGUCAGAGGAUCUCAUUUGUCAGAAGAAACUGAGGUUCAAGGAAGACUUAGCUAGGGUCACGUGGGUAGAAUAUAGCCAAAAUGGUACUUGAACCUACAUCCUCCAGCCCCAAAGUCCCCGCUCUUUUCCGUGAAAACACCCAGGGUUACCUUGGUGGUCCACGAGUCCGGAACAUUGGAUUUAGCACUUUAGUUCAAAUGCAGUCUCAGCUAUUUACCAUGUGGGGGGAUCUUAAGGGAGUCACUUCUCUCUGAAACAGCCUCCUCCUCUGUAAAAUGAGGAAGCUGAAUGAAUUAGGUAAUCUCGGCAUCCCUGGCGCCUGGUAAAUAGUAGCUAGAUCCUCGUUUGACUGAUCUUUAUGGUCCUUUCCGGCUCUAGAUGCAGUUAUCUUAAGGCGGGGAUGCACAAUGAAGUCAAGAGACA